UACCAGCUCCUCGAGUGGUCGGGGCGAUUAUUGGGCCUAAAGCAUCCGUAGCCGGUUCGGUAGGUCCCCUGCUAAAUCCAAUGGCUCAACUAUUGGCCUGCAGGGGAUACCGCCGGACUAGGAGGCGGGAGAGGAGGACGGUACUCCGCAGGUAGGGGUAAAAUCCUUUGAUCUGCGGAAGACCACCAGUGGCGAAGGCGGUCCUCCAGAACGCGCUCGACGGUGAGGGAUGAAAGCUGGGGGAGCGAACCGG
Molecule: ribosomal RNA, 253 nt
Filed under: uncultured bacterium
Lineage: Bacteria
Description: partial 16S ribosomal RNA
Rfam family: Archaeal small subunit ribosomal RNA
Source: RNAcentral